RNAcentral lists this ribosomal RNA (322 nucleotides) under uncultured bacterium. Its description in RNAcentral is "bacterial SSU rRNA". It matches the Rfam family "Bacterial small subunit ribosomal RNA", at positions 28 to 334 of the family's 1533-position model. The record is from RNAcentral.
GACGAACGCUGGCGGCGUGCCUAAUACAUGCAAGUCGAGCGGACUGACUUGAGAAGCUUGCUUCUCAAUGACGUUAGCGGCGGACGGGUGAGUAACACGUGGGUAACCUACCCUAUAGACUGGGAUAACUUCGGGAAACCGGAGCUAAUACCAGAUAAUUGUUUUCUUCGCAUGAAGAGAAUUGGAAAGACGGUUUCGGCUGUCACUAUAGGAUGGACCCGCGGCGCAUUAGCUAGUUGGUGAGGUAACGGCUCACCAAGGCAACGAUGCGUAGCCGACCUGAGAGGGUGAUCGGCCACACUGGGACUGAGACACGGCCCAG